RNAcentral lists this ribosomal RNA (669 nucleotides) under Gigantococcus gowdeyi. Its description in RNAcentral is "eukaryotic LSU rRNA". It matches the Rfam family "Eukaryotic large subunit ribosomal RNA", at positions 420 to 907 of the family's 3401-position model. Lineage: Eukaryota; Metazoa; Arthropoda; Insecta; Hemiptera; Monophlebidae. The record is from RNAcentral.
CKGVYMGAGMCCGUGMAUCCGGGCCGGCGAAUUCAGGACCGAUAGGCGGCCCGCCAGGGUCCUUGUCGGUUUGAUGUUUCGUCGGCCGUAAAUUUGGACGUUGCGACCCGUUUGGUGCUGGUUUGUUGAAGGGCCGACGUAAAGUUCGUCAGUUUGAUCCGUUUCGGCGAAUCAGUUUGGCGAUUCGUCGGUUCCGAGCUAGCUAGCCCGACGGUACAAGAAUGGUGUCCGACGACGAUUCUGUCGUCGCCGGUACCGGUCUGUAACGAUUAUUCGGGCCUCUUUCCGACCCGUCUUGAAACACGGACCAAGGAGUCUAACGUGUGCGCGAGUCAUAGGGUGUCGCCGACUGGUGCCUCGGUAUCAGGCGGCGUUAUACAAACGAAACCCGACAUAGGCGUAAUGAAAGUAAUAUUGUGUUCUCGGACACAAUGGGAAGAUAACGUUCCGAGUACACGUUCUAGACUUGAUCUAGACCGGACGUUCGCAUUCCCGGGGCGUCCCUUCAGUCCGGCGGCGUACUACUUCGGUGGUGCGUCGUUGAACGCGGGCGCACUCAUAGCGUACACGUUGGUACCCGAAAGAUGGUGAACUAUGCCCGGCCAGGAUGAAGUCAGGGGAAACCCUGAUGGAGGUCCGCAGCGAUUCUGACGUGCAAAUCGAUCGUCU